UACACUGAGCUAUGGGACUUGCUCAGACUCUCCUCCUGUUAGGCAGCAGAAUCUAAUAAGAAACAGACAGUACACAAUGAAGUCAUCAAGAUCAGGUGUCUGGUGCAAGUAAGACUUGCCCCACAGGAGCUGGGGUCGUGGAAACAGAAGUGAAGAAAUUGAGACAUGGAAACGCAGGAUAACAUCCUGUGUCCAUUCUCAGAAAGACUGUUCUCUGGGAUGUUCCCUAAGGUGACGGCAGAUGUCAGCCUUGUGGAUAAAGCAGGCUCUGAAAGCACGCAGACAGGUUGCAGACCUCUGUUCCUCGUUACCAUAAUAUUGAAUGCUCAUCUUUUCCCAAGCACGACAGCGGAUAUGUGCUCUGCCUGCUAGCUCACUGUUGUUUGUGCUGGAAAGAACCCGGGCCCAGCCCAGAGCCACGUUGCAGGGCUCAGGACUGCUCUGAAACACUGCCACCUAGUGGCGUGAUGAGGGUUCUGUAGCUCAGGAAUCCUGAGAGAAGCAAGGAAGAAUCUUCUAGCAUGUGGGGGACUCUCGGGACCCAAGAGGGAGAGCAACUCCUAAAGACAUGGAGGCUUCUAGUACUUCAGGACAGACACAAACCACAGAACAUGCAGAAAAGAGACAGAGAGAAAACAGCAGCAACUGUUCUGUCUGCAGUGCUCAAAGCAUGCCACCUGUGGCUGAUCAAGAAGCAUUGGUUCAUGUGGUCAUCCUUAAAUGGAAGUGUGCACCACGGUCUGGAAGCUUUACGAUGCAUUAACAUCCAGCCUUUCAACUUCAAGCAACAAUGAGAGCCAACAACAAUGGCACCGGUCAACUAAGUCAGACUUUGCUAAGUGAAAAAGGCUACACCGGACAGAGGCAGAGUCUACAUCCAAGCUGAAAGCGUGGUCAGAGCUGCUUCCUCUGUGUUAAGUUCCUUCUUCUGCAAGGACUGUGUGACCCCCCUGGACAUUUGUUAGGUCAUAUCCAAAUAAUAUAGUUCAUAAAGAGAAGUAGAGAACCUGUAGAGGAAUAGACAACUGGUCGACCAUGGAGCUGGACGCUCUCCUUGUUUCAGAGAACUCUUGUGUUUGAUUCUGAAAUCCAUUGUCAACUCUGUUUUUAACUUCUUAGGUUUAACACUUCUUGUUUGAAACUCAAGCAGUUCUCCAACAACAAGAAAUAGACUACCAGUCGAUCUGAGUCACUGUGGUAAGCUCCUUUCCUUGCUGUCCACUGACUGUAGGCCAAUGAGGACUGUUGAUUAAAAGGCAUGUUCUUUCUCCA
Mus caroli (Ryukyu mouse) is the source of this 1272-nucleotide non-coding RNA. Lineage: Eukaryota; Metazoa; Chordata; Mammalia; Rodentia; Muridae. The record is from RefSeq and is a predicted model, not a curated record.